AUACGGAGGGUCCAAGCGUUAUCCGGAAUCAUUGGGCGUAAAGCGCGCGCAGGCGGUCUUUUAAGUUGGAUGUGAAAGCCUACGGCUCAACCGUAGAACUGCAUCCAAAACUAUUAGACUAGAGUGUGGGAGAGGAAGAUGGAAUUAGUUGUGUAGGGGUAAAAUCCGUAGAGAUAACUAGGAAUACCAAAAGCGAAGGCAAUCUUCUGGAACACUACUGACGCUGAGGCGCGAAAGCGUGGGGAGCAAACAGGAUUAGAAACCCUAGUAGUCC
This 274-nucleotide ribosomal RNA is filed under the name uncultured bacterium. RNAcentral's name for it is "partial 16S ribosomal RNA". It matches the Rfam family "Bacterial small subunit ribosomal RNA", at positions 523 to 796 of the family's 1533-position model. The record is from RNAcentral.